Molecule: ribosomal RNA, 371 nt
Filed under: Acanthopygus griseus
Lineage: Eukaryota; Metazoa; Arthropoda; Insecta; Coleoptera; Anthribidae
Description: partial 12S ribosomal RNA
Source: RNAcentral
GAUACCCUAUUAUUAAAAGUGUAAAAUUAAAAACUAAGUUAGUAUUAGUUAAGAUCUUGAAAAUUAAAAAUUUUGGCGGUAUUUUAGUCUAUUUAGAGGAACCUGUUAUGUAAUUGAUAGUCCACGAUUUAUUCUACUUUUAUUAAAAUUUAUAUAUCGUUGUUAAGGAAUAUUUUUUAAGAAGACUAAUAUUAACAAUUUAUAUAAUAAAAAGAAUCAAAUCAAGAUGUAGUUUAUAUAAAAGAAUAAAUGGGUUACAAUUCAAUAAUGAAGAUGAAUAAUUAAUUUAAAUUUAAUUUGAAGGUGGAUUUAAGAGUAAUUUUUUAUAGAUUUAAGAAAUGAUUUUAGCUCUAAAAUAUGUACACAUCGCC